RNAcentral lists this ribosomal RNA (478 nucleotides) under uncultured bacterium. Its description in RNAcentral is "bacterial SSU rRNA". It matches the Rfam family "Bacterial small subunit ribosomal RNA", at positions 29 to 506 of the family's 1533-position model. The record is from RNAcentral.
UUGAACGCUGGCGGCAUGCCUUACACAUGCAGGUCGAACGCGAAAGGGGGCAACCCUGAGUAGAGUGGCGAACGGGUGAGUAAUGCAUCGGAACGUGUCCUGUAGCGGGGGACAACCCCGAGAAAUCGGGGCUAAUACCGCAUACGUCCUACGGGAGAAAGUGGGGACCGCAAGGCCUCACACUAUAGGGGCGGCCGAUGCCGGAUUAGCUAGUUGGUGAGGUAAGAGCUCACCAAGGCGACGAUCCGUAGCUGGUCUGAGAGGAUGAUCAGCCACACUGGGACUGAGACACGGCCCAGACUCCUACGGGAGGCAGCAGUGGGGAAUUUUGGACAAUGGGCGCAAGCCUGAUCCAGCCAUGCCGCGUGAGUGAAGAAGGCCUUCGGGUUGUAAAGCUCUUUCGGCCGGGACGAAAUCUCUUCCGCUAAUAUCGGGAGUGGAUGACGGUACCGGAAGAAGAAGCACCGGCUAACUACGU